This is a long non-coding RNA of Salvelinus namaycush (lake trout), 1774 nucleotides long. RefSeq lists it as uncharacterized. NCBI's taxonomy places the organism in Eukaryota, Metazoa, Chordata, Actinopteri, Salmoniformes, Salmonidae. The transcript has 3 exons. The record is from RefSeq and is a predicted model, not a curated record.
AUGAAUUGGCUGUACAUGCCGAGAGAUGAGUUUCGGAUUGGUCUGCUGUGUAGAAUCUUCUGUCUAUAAAAUGAGCUGCUCGUUAUGUGUAGAUAAUCCUUCUACUGCAGUUUUUUCGAAAGAUAUAACAUUAGCCAUGGAGAACUGGAAAUGUGUUGCUAAUGCUCUCAAUAACAUUUCUGCCUUGAAUAUAUCAGGCGCUAUCGACAAAGGUCAGUGGGAAAAAGUUGUGAUGGACUACUUUCAGGAGGACGAUAGCACCAUGCUGACUCUCUCUGACUCUGAAAAUGAAUCAGACGAGGAUAUCCCUGAUUUAGGUAGAAACAUUUUCAUUGAAGAAGACAUUGUAGAGUCUUCUGAUGACAGUGAUGGGGGAAGAAACGGCGAUCAACAUAGUUGUUGUCACGGAAGAAGUUGACCAAGUUUAGAAAUCAGUGGAAUGUCUGGUAGAAGCAGAGUAUGAUAAGGAGAUGAAUAGAAUUCUGUCGUUUGAUUGCAAAUGCAGAGGGAGUCGAAAAGAGAACACAGGUGGCUGUUGUAUAAAACACCUGCCUCCGGAUGACAUCUUCAAACUAAGGGCAACCAUGGCAUCCAUGACAGAGAGAGAGAAAGAUUUGAUGAUUCUUAUGGCAUUGCACACAGUCAGUGUGAACCAGAGUGACUUGACAGAACAACGGGCCAAGCAAGCUGUACAAACUAAACGGAAACGACACAGGACGUCUUAUUUAAUGAAAGGGGUUGCAGUCUGCCGUGAAGCGUUCAUCCAUGCAUACAGCAUCAGUAGAGCACGUCUUACUCUCCUCCGCCAGUCAUACAAGGAGAAUGCCUCCCAUCAAAAAGAGAGCUGUCCCAAGCAAGAACAGGUUACACCUGAAGCAUGAGUACUUGCAAUGAGAUGUGAACUUCAUCAACAACUACGCAGAGGAUAAUGCAAUAGCAUUACCAGAACUCCACCCAGGACACAAAUACUUUGGUGGAAAGCUGCUGCCAUCUCAAGACCAGAGUGACCACUUUGUCUGAGAUUGCUGGUGUUGUGAAGGACAGUACUGUGACGGGUCAACAUCCCACAGCUGGUUGGACUGGAGGAUGGUACGGUGCUGGUGGAAAGCUAUGGCUGGCAACAACACCUGGCUCUGUACUUCAGGCCGCUGACACAGAUCAAGCAGUACCAGCACUUCAGCCUGGUGUUGUUGUCGCCAAGGAGCGUUCGGACUCAGUCGGGACCAGGUUUCAGCUGCUGCACAUCGCUGACAUCCUCCCUCCCGUAGAUGGUCUGCUUGUACAAGCACCACCUGGACUGGACACAGCUAGACAAACUCAUCUUUUUGAGAAGAUCAGGGAGUUUUGUGACUAAGAGGCUAUGUACAUCACAUGCCCUGCACCAAAGGCAAGGGCAGGAUAUCAACGGGAUCUCCAAAUGUAGAUCCCUUUGUUCAUUCGUGGUUCGGACGGACCAGUUCAUCACUGGGUGAGAGUUCCCAGUCAUCAGCGCUAUCUGCAGUGCCUCUAUAGACAUUCACAUCACUUUCUCCUGACAUGUUGCUGCUACUAUUUGUUUUUUUAUCCUGCUGCUCAGCCACUUUUGCCCUCACUGUAUGCAUAUAACUACCUCUAUCACCAGUAUCACUGAUAUUGUUAUUAAUAUUGUUCUUGUACAUACUGUAUAUUAUUUUGUUCCUUCUCUACUGGCAUUGACACUUGUUAUUUUUUAUUUAUAUUGGCAAUCUCUCUUUUUGAUAUUGCUACUAUGCAAGUAACCAUUUAGCUGUACUGU